This 1439-nucleotide ribosomal RNA is filed under the name uncultured organism. RNAcentral's name for it is "SSU rRNA". It matches the Rfam family "Bacterial small subunit ribosomal RNA". The record is from RNAcentral.
AGCUACAGGCUUAACACAUGCAAGUCGAGGGGCAGCAUCAUCAAAGCUUGCUUUGAUGGAUGGCGACCGGCGCACGGGUGAGUAACACGUAUCCAACCUGCCGACAACACUGGGAUAGCCUUUCGAAAGAAAGAUUAAUACCGGAUGGCAUAGUUUUUCCGCAUGGGAUAAUUAUUAAAGAAUUUCGGUUGUCGAUGGGGAUGCGUUCCAUUAGGCAGUUGGCGGGGUAACGGCCCACCAAACCAACGAUGGAUAGGGGUUCUGAGAGGAAGGUCCCCCACAUUGGAACUGAGACACGGUCCAAACUCCUACGGGAGGCAGCAGUGAGGAAUAUUGGUCAAUGGACGAGAGUCUGAACCAGCCAAGUAGCGUGAAGGAUGACUGCCCUAUGGGUUGUAAACUUCUUUUAUACGGGAAUAAAGUUAGCCACGUGUGGCUUUUUGUAUGUACCGUAUGAAUAAGGAUCGGCUAACUCCGUGCCAGCAGCCGCGGUAAUACGGAGGAUCCGAGCGUUAUCCGGAUUUAUUGGGUUUAAAGGGAGCGUAGGCGGGUUGUUAAGUCAGUUGUGAAAGUUUGCGGCUCAACCGUAAAAUUGCAGUUGAUACUGGCGACCUUGAGUGCAACAGAGGUAGGCGGAAUUCGUGGUGUAGCGGUGAAAUGCUUAGAUAUCACGAAGAACUCCGAUUGCGAAGGCAGCUUACUGGAUUGUAACUGACGCUGAUGCUCGAAAGUGUGGGUAUCAAACAGGAUUAGAUACCCUGGUAGUCCACACAGUAAACGAUGAAUACUCGCUGUUGGCGAUAUACGGUCAGCGGCCAAGCGAAAGCAUUAAGUAUUCCACCUGGGGAGUACGCCGGCAACGGUGAAACUCAAAGGAAUUGACGGGGGCCCGCACAAGCGGAGGAACAUGUGGUUUAAUUCGAUGAUACGCGAGGAACCUUACCCGGGCUUAAAUUGCAACUGACUGAACCGGAAACGGUUCUUUCUUCGGACAGUUGUGAAGGUGCUGCAUGGUUGUCGUCAGCUCGUGCCGUGAGGUGUCGGCUUAAGUGCCAUAACGAGCGCAACCCUUAUCGAUAGUUACUAGCAGGUCAUGCUGAGGACUCUAUUGAGACUGCCGUCGUAAGAUGUGAGGAAGGUGGGGAUGACGUCAAAUCAGCACGGCCCUUACGUCCGGGGCUACACACGUGUUACAAUGGGGGGUACAGAAGGCAGCUACACGGCGACGUGGUGCUAAUCCCGAAAGCCUCUCUCAGUUCGGAUUGGAGUCUGCAACCCGACUCCAUGAAGCUGGAUUCGCUAGUAAUCGCGCAUCAGCCACGGCGCGGUGAAUACGUUCCCGGGCCUUGUACACACCGCCCGUCAAGCCAUGAAAGCCGGGGGUACCUGAAGUACGUAACCGCGAGGAGCGUCCUAGGGUAAAACUGGUGAUUGGGGCU